This 402-nucleotide ribosomal RNA is filed under the name uncultured bacterium. RNAcentral describes it as "bacterial SSU rRNA". It matches the Rfam family "Bacterial small subunit ribosomal RNA", at positions 355 to 774 of the family's 1533-position model. The record is from RNAcentral.
UGGGGAAUCUUGCACAAUGGAGGAAACUCUGAUGCAGCGACGCCGCGUGAGCGAAGAAGCCUUUCGGGGUGUAAAGCUCUUACGCCAGGGACGAUAAUGACGGUACCUGGAGAAGCAGCUGCGGCUAACUACGUGCCAGCAGCCGCGGUAAUACGUAGGCAGCAAGCGUUGUUCGGAAUUACGGGGCGUAAAGGGUGCGUAGGCGGCGCUCUAAGUUUGGUGUGAAAUCUCCCGGCUUAACCGGGAGGGUGCACUGAAAACUGGGGCGCUCGAGUAUGGGAGAGGAAAGCGGAAUUCCUUGUGUAGCGGUGAAAUGCGUAGAGAUCAGGAGGAACACCUGCGGUGCAGACGGCUUUCUGGACCAUCACUGACGCUGAGGCACGAAAGCGUGGGUAGCAAACA